AUGGGAACGCGAAGAACCUUACCUACUCUUGACAUCCAGAGAACUUUCCAGAGAUGGAUUGGUGCCUUCGGGAACGUCUGAGACAGGUGCUGCAUGGCUGUCGUCAGCUCGUGUUGUGAAUGUUGGGUUAAGUCCGCAACGAGCGCAACCCGUUAUCCUUUGUUGCCAGCGGUUCGGCCGGGAACUCAAAGGAGACUGCCAGUGAUAAACUGGAGGAAGGUGGGGAUGACGUCAAGUCAUCAUGGCCCUUACGAGUAGGGCUACACACGUGCUACAAUGGCGCAUACAAAGAGAAGCGACCUCGCGAGAGCAGGCGGACCUCAUAAAGUGCGUCGUAGUCCGGAUUGGAGUCUGCAACUCGACUCCAUGAAGUCGGAAUCGCUAGUAAUCGUAGAUC
Molecule: ribosomal RNA, 397 nt
Filed under: uncultured bacterium
Lineage: Bacteria
Description: bacterial SSU rRNA
Rfam family: Bacterial small subunit ribosomal RNA
Source: RNAcentral